CGGGGGCAACCCUGGUGGCGAGUGGCGAACGGGUGAGUAAUACAUCGGAACGUGCCCAGUCGUGGGGGAUAACGUAGCGAAAGCUACGCUAAUACCGCAUACGAACUCUGGUUGAAAGCGGGGGAUCGCAAGACCUCGCGCGAUUGGAGCGGCCGAUGGCAGAUUAGGUAGUUGGUGGGGUAAAGGCUCACCAAGCCGACGAUCUGUAGCUGGUCUGAGAGGACGACCAGCCACACUGGGACUGAGACACGGCCCAGACUCCUACGGGAGGCAGCAGUGGGGAAUUUUGGACAAUGGGCGCAAGCCUGAUCCAGCCAUUCCGCGUGCAGGAUGAAGGCCCUCGGGUUGUAAACUGCUUUUGUACGGAACGAAAAGGCUCUGGUUAAUACCUGGGGCUCAUGACGGUACCGUAAGAAUAAGCACCGGCUAACUACGUGCCAGCAGCCGCGGUAAUACGUAGGGCGCAAGCGUUAAUCGGAAUUACUGGGCGUAAAGCGUGCGCAGGCGGUGAUGUAAGACAGGUGUGAAAUCCCCGGGCUUAACCUGGGAACUGCAUUUGUGACUGCAUCGCUGGAGUGCGGCAGAGGGGGAUGGAAUUCCGCGUGUAGCAGUGAAAUGCGUAGAUAUGCGGAGGAACACCGAUGGCGAAGGCAAUCCCCUGGGCCUGCACUGACGCUCAUGCACGAAAGCGUGGGGAGCAAACAGGAUUAGAUACCCUGGUAGUCCACGCCCUAAACGAUGUCAACUGGUUGUUGGGUCUUCACUGACUCAGUAACGAAGCUAACGCGUGAAGUUGACCGCCU
RNAcentral lists this ribosomal RNA (803 nucleotides) under uncultured bacterium. Its description in RNAcentral is "bacterial SSU rRNA". It matches the Rfam family "Bacterial small subunit ribosomal RNA", at positions 74 to 874 of the family's 1533-position model. The record is from RNAcentral.